GAUGAACGCUGGCGGCGUGCUUAACACAUGCAAGUCGAACGAAGCAUUUCCUUUUCUUCGGAAAAGGAAAUGACUGAGUGGCGGACGGGUGAGUAACGCGUGGGUAACCUGCCUCAUACAGGGGGAUAACAGCUGGAAACGGCUGCUAAUACCGCAUAAGCGCACAAUGCUGCAUGACAUAGUGUGAAAAACUCUGGUGGUAUGAGAUGGACCCGCGUCUGAUUAGCUAGUUGGUAAGGUAAUGGCUUACCAAGGCGACGAUCAGUAGCCGACCUGAGAGGGUGACCGGCCACAUUGGGACUGAGACACGGCCCAAACUCCUACGGGAGGCAGCAGUGGGGAAUAUUGCACAAUGGGCGAAAGCCUGAUGCAGCGACGCCGCGUGAGCGAAGAAGUAUUUCGGUAUGUAAAGCUCUAUCAGCAGGGAAGAAAAAAAUGACGGUACCUGACUAAGAAGCACCGGCUAAAUACGUGCCAGCAGCCGCGGUAA
Molecule: ribosomal RNA, 490 nt
Filed under: uncultured bacterium
Lineage: Bacteria
Description: partial 16S ribosomal RNA
Rfam family: Bacterial small subunit ribosomal RNA
Source: RNAcentral